RNAcentral lists this ribosomal RNA (253 nucleotides) under uncultured bacterium. RNAcentral's name for it is "partial 16S ribosomal RNA". It matches the Rfam family "Bacterial small subunit ribosomal RNA", at positions 524 to 776 of the family's 1533-position model. The record is from RNAcentral.
UACAGAGGUCCCAAGCGUUGUUCGGAUUCACUGGGCGUAAAGGGUGCGUAGGUGGUCGGGUAAGUCUGAUGUGAAAUCUCCGAGCUUAACUCGGAAAAUGCAUUGGAUACUAUCCGGCUGGAGGAUUGGAGGGGGGACUGGAAUUCUCGGUGUAGCAGUGAAAUGCGUAGAUAUCGAGAGGAACACCAGUGGCGAAGGCGAGUCCCUAGACAAUUCCUGACACUGAGGCACGAAAGCUAGGGGAGCAAACAGG